RNAcentral lists this ribosomal RNA (430 nucleotides) under Bacteroidota bacterium. RNAcentral describes it as "Bacteroidetes bacterium partial 16S ribosomal RNA". It matches the Rfam family "Bacterial small subunit ribosomal RNA", at positions 355 to 776 of the family's 1533-position model. The record is from RNAcentral. Lineage: Bacteria; Pseudomonadati; Bacteroidota.
UAGGGAAUCUUCCGCAAUGGACGCAAGUCUGACGGAGCAACGCCGCGUGAGUGAAGAAGGUUUUCGGAUCGUAAAGCUCUGUUGUUAAGGAAGAACGAGUGUGAGAAUGGAAAGUUCAUACUGUGACGGUACUUAACCAGAAAGGGACGGCUAACUACGUGCCAGCAGCCGCGGUAAUACGUAGGUGGCAAGCGUUGUCCGGAUUUAUUGGGCGUAAAGCGAGCGCAGGCGGUCAAUUAAGUCUGAUGUGAAAGCCCCCGGCUCAACCGGGGAGGGUCUUUGGAAACUGGUUGACUUGAGUGCAGAAGAGGAGAGUGGAAUUCCAUGUGUAGCGGUGAAAUGCGUAGAUAUAUGGAGGAACACCAGUGGCGAAGGCGACUCUCUGGUCUGUAACUGACGCUGAGGUUCGAAAGCGUGGGUAGCAAACAGG